Molecule: long non-coding RNA, 7202 nt
Organism: Hippopotamus amphibius kiboko
Lineage: Eukaryota; Metazoa; Chordata; Mammalia; Artiodactyla; Hippopotamidae
Exons: 3
Source: RefSeq, a predicted model, not a curated record
CUUUACCCCCCUGGGAAGCACGACCUGGGGGCGACGGGAGCUCAGGGGCUCGGAGGAGCAGGGCGCCCCGACUUAGGCAUGGGGGGGCAGUGGAAGUGGCGCGGGUGUGCUCCCCAAUCGGACUAUUCCCCUCCCUCCCCUCCCCCUGGAAUUCCCUUCCCCAAGUCCAAGUUUUCUCAUGCAUGGAGGUUCUUGAGAAUGUACUGAAAAAUUAACGAGUUGGAUUGAACCUGAAAUACUUGACUCUCUGUGUCCACGGAGCUUUCUGAACUGCCUCUUCCCAAAGUCUCAGACCAUAAGGGGUACUGGUGGUGUGGGAUAGAGCGGCGAUCGCUGUUUCCCAGUUACAGGGACGCUCUUUCUGUAUACGCAGCCACAGUGUUACCUUCCUAGGGGCAUGACUGGGCCUUUAGUAAAUCCCUGUAUCUAUAAAAGUCAGCUAUUAUAACAGGGCCCACUGUGUAUUUAGCAAUAUACCAGGUUGCCGUUGUCAUUUCUAAUCCCACGGGCAGUAGAUUUUCUAGUAGUAACUAGGUGUCCUUUACAGUGCUAGUUUCUCUAGACUCGUUUCUCAGGUCCGAGAUUUUUCAUGGUCUUAGGCACGAAAGAUCUUAUAAUGAUUUAAAUCCAUUGAAAUCUUGGCAUUCGUCUUUAAGUGAUUUUUUUUCCCCAAAUAUUACUCUCAGUGUCUUGUAAGCUCUGGUGCCAGCUUCACAGAGUUUCUGUCCUUGCUUUUUCCUCCUGAUUUGGCAGCUAAAUUCCCUUUCAGGAAUUGACAGGAGAUACCUUUCCUGGACUGCAAGCAGGGCAGCUAGACACAAGGAAAUUGGCAGCAUCACCGCUCUGGGUCUGUUGUUUUAACUCACAGGUGUCCAGGAGAAUUUAAACUUUUAUUGUGGUUUUUGUGGCAGGUGUAUUUUUGAGCACCUUCAUCUAAGUGAAUUUGCCAAUGCUGAUGUCAACAACCUUCAGGACCUGGUUUUAAAAGAUUAUUUCUUCACUAAAAUAGGUUUUAAAUGUUUUUUGAAACUAUCCAGAAAGUGGCUAAAGAAAACUUGGUUGGCAAAGCCUGUUCCGCUUAAAUGUUUGAAGUCUUAUUUUAAAGUUAUUCACACUUGGUGAUGUUCCACCCAAAACCAAACUUUUGUCUUCUGGAGGUUAGGAUUCCCUUUUUAGAAAGUUUUAUAACUUUCUACUGUUUAGGCACUUUGUUUCUUGUAUUCAACAUAUAAUGAUGUAAUGUUUUUCAUGCUCGCAGCACCUAAGAUUUUAGAACUUUUGUGCUGAAGCAAUAAAGAUAAGACAGUCCCUGCUCUCAAGUACCUUACAAUUUAAUUAGAGUAUUGGCAGAAGAUUCAGAACACUUUUCCCGCCCCCCGUGCACUAAAAAAAAAAAAAAUCUCCAUAAAAGCUAAGGAAAUGGUUUUGAAUCCUGGUUCAGUGGUGAUAUUUGUGUGGGAAGGUAAGGUGAUAGCAAAGUGUGUUACUCCCUAAUCUUAUUCACAAUAAGAAUAGAAUUUGGGGAACUGAGAUGAAAAAGUGUCUAACCCGCCCCUUGGUCAGUCUUUCUCAAAUACUGCUCUCCUCAUCUCUCUUUUGAUGGGACUUGAAUAGUAUGUAGUUCUUGAGUGAGAGUCCCAAGCAGGUGUGUCCUCAGUGCGGCUGAUGGAAGAGACGGGCCUUAUAUUCCAGAUGGCCUGGCGGUAGUGUUAACAUUGUUAGGAAAAAUUUAAAGUCAGAUAUUUGUUGUUUUUUUUUUUACAUUCCUAAAGGAUUUGUGGAGUGUCACACAGUAUAAUAUCAAUCAAUCAAUCAAUCAAUAAAAAGCUGGUUUUUAUUUUCAUCCUCUUAGAAGUCUACACAGAGGUGGAUUCAAAGAGCAUUUAUUUCCCUGGACAGUAUGUUGGUUCAGGUUUGUGGGAAUAUUAAAUUGAGACCCUCUUUUAAAUGAAUUUUCCCGUACUGAUUUCAGUAACCUUUCUCCCCUGGUUUCAAAAGACUGUGUCUUCACCAAAAUGAUUUUUAGGUGUUUUUGAACAAUCCAGAAACUUGGCUAAAGAAAAUCUGGUUGACAAAGACUUUCAGACUAUAUUUGAAGUCAAUUUUAAAAUUGUUCACACUUCAUGAAGUUUCGCCUAAAACCAAAUUUUUAUCUGUGCCGUAGAGUAGGGCUCCCAAACCUUUCUCACCUCAUGCCACAUAUAGUCAUGGUCAAGUUUGUGUGGCCCCUUGAGACAAUGCCCCCCUGGGGAGGGGGGCACUCAGCCUCCCUGUGCCAAAGAGGUUCAGUAUCUCUGCACACCUCUCACACCCACAGCAAAUGUGGCAGCAUGCCUUGGCAUAUGGGUUGGAGAACUUCAGCAUGCAGCACAGGAAGAAUAAACUUGCCUUGUAGAAUGCAAAGGUCAGGGAUUACUAGCUGUUCACUUUGACCUUAAAACAUGUCUAUGUGGGGACUUCCCUGGCAGUCCAGUGAUUAAGACUCUGCGCUUCCACUGCAAGGGGUGUGGGUUUGAUCCCUGGUGGGGAAGUAAGAUCCCGCAAGCCUUGAGGCAUAGCCAAAUUAGGGGGGGAAAAAAUAGAGUGCCCUCUUUUACUUUUCUUUCUUUUUUUUUUUUAAUUUAGGACUGGUUGCUCUGAGAAGGCAAGGAUCACAUCUAUUUUAGUCACCACUGUUUUCCCCAUGCCUGGCUUAAAGAAGAUGCUCAGCGGGGGCAAGGAUACAAGGAGAAGAAACUGAAGAGUCAAGAGGGGAUGCCUAAGGGUGGAAGAGAAACAAGAGCACAAAGAGAGGACCAGGCUUGUCCAAGGACAUUUCACCUGCAAGGCAGCACAGAAAGCAGGAAAGAACAGAAUUUCAUGGAGCAGUUUUGGUGAACGAGUCAACACGCAAACAGGAAUGAGAGCCCUGGGACUUUCCUAAGACAAACAAAGCAUUUAAAAGAAAUGACAAUAUUUAGCAGAACUCAAAACUCCCAAUUCCAGAUUAAGAAAACAACUUGCUGCAAACAACUGAAGAUAUUUUAAAUUAGCUCUAGUUUUUACCAAAAACUGUCUCAUCACAGCACCAAAAAAAGGUACAUUACAUUUAAGAAAUCUUUUUACGAUGGGAAAAGAUCACUUUUCAGCUCCAGGGAGAACUACUGCAUCCUCAGCUGAUCCAACUCAGUGGCUCAUCCCAAGUCUUGGUUCAUUCCUGCUUCUCCAAGUGCCCCGUUUCCUGUCAAAUUGCUAUUGUCCCUAAGCCUUCACGUUUCCUCUUAAUCAUAUUUCUCCCCCUAGGCCCUUUUUCAGUAAUGAGUCAAAGCUCCAGGCAGCUGUCAAAUAUUCCUCUUGUGCAGGCCAAGCCUUCCAAGGAGUGACACCACAAAGUUAAGACGCAAACGGAUGUGACAGGGCAAUUGAUGUUGGACUCGGCACAGCCCUGGGCAGAGAAGCAGAGUUGCAGAGGAAGGCACUAUGUGGAGCCAGGAUACACAUUAUUUCCAGAAGAGUCAUUGGGAUAUAAACUGCACAUGGCCCAAAUUCAGAGUCCGGGGUCAAAACCCUUGGGAGAUCAUAUGGUCCAGAGUCUCUUACCCCAGCUAAUGCUUGGGAUCAGUAAACAUCCUAGACCAAGGAUCUGAAAAUGGUGGCCCGUGAGCCAAAUAUGAUCCUCUGCCUAUUUUUGUAUGGCUGGUAAGCUUCGAGUGAUUUUAAAAUUUUUAAAUAUUUGAAAAAAAUCAAGUAAUAUUGUUGACAUUAAAAUUAUAUACAAUUGUGGGAAUUCCCUGGUGGUCCAGUGGUUAAGACUCUGCUUCCAUUGCAGGGGGCGCUGGUUUGAUCUCCCUGAUUGGGGAAGAUCCCACAUGCCAUGCAGCUCGUGGCCAAAAAAAAAAAAGGAAAGAAAGAAAGAAAAAUUAUAUAUAAUUAAAAUUUCAGUGUCUAAAAUUAAAGUUUUGUUGGAUACCACCACACCCAUUUACCUAUGCCUAUGUCUAUGGCUGCUUUCUUGCUGCAGUGGAAGAGCUGAAUAGUUGUGUCAGAGAUCGUACGGCCCACAGAGCCUAAAAUAUUUAGUCUCUGACCCUUUGCAGAGAAAGUUUGCUGUCCCCUGUAUUAAACUCUUUUUCACAAACCACAGUAGCAAGAGAAGAGAAAGGAACAGGGGACAAGUCAAACCACAACCAUCACCUCAAUGAUGGGGAGCCUAGCCUUGUCAGAUAGGAACAGGGCCUGGGAACCACUCAUUAGGUCUGGCCACUGUGUUUCCAUGCGGGGCCUUCUGGAUGAAGUGAGGGAUGGGACAGGCCCAGUGACCAUCCCCACUGUUGUAGCAUCUCACCCUGCUAGGGCCCUUCUCCAUCACUCAGGGUGUCUCUGGACGACCAUUAUGAGAGAAACCUUUCCUAUCCUAGUCCCCAGGGGAGAAAAAGUCUAAGUCUAGCUCCAUUUGGCAGAUGGAGAAUUUGGAUAUUGGUUCAAGAAAGACCUUACGUGGAGUAGCAGCAAUGCUGGGUGCCAUCAACAUAUUCAAGAUUAGUCCCCUCUCUAAAUUCAGCUUCUGUGCUGGCGCCUUCUCCAGUCCCUGGGCUCAGUCCUGGGUCCUGAUACAGCCCAGGGUGGGGGACCAUGUCUUCAGACAUCUCAAGGGCCAUCUCGUGAAAGAUGGUUCUGUGAGGUCCCAGAGAUCAAAACUAGUACUAAUGGGUGGAGCAAUAGUAGGUCUGAACACAGCCUGGGGAAGGCUUGGCUCACAGUAUGUGCUGAACAGAGCUGGAACCAGCCGUCUUGGGAGGCAAUGAGCUUGCUGCUUUAGCAGAAAGGCUGCAGGUAGGGAGAAAGGUGGUGGUGUCAGAUGACCACUGGGUGCUAGGAUUACCUGAAUCAGGACUCAUGGAUUAAGGGGCAGAGUUUGAGGAUUCGGACACUGCAUGCAACAGCUCAGAGCAUGGGCUUUGAAGUCAGAGCUGUUCUAAGUUCAAAUUAUGGCUCUGUCACUUACUCGCCAAGUGGUAAAGUUAGUUUAAGAUGAGCCUCAGCUCCCACAUCUAUAAAAUGUGAAUAUGGUCCUUACCAUACUGAGAUACUGUUAGGGAUAAAUUAUACCACAUUUAGUGUCAACAGAGGUAGCUGUUGUUGAAUAUUUAUUACAAGAAAUCUUUGUCAGUUGCUGAUUGCCUUAUACAUCACUUGAGUCCAAAUCUUGGUAGGAAAUUUUAUCUUUUUUUUUUUUUCCAAAGCCAUUUGAGGGCAGGGAAUAAAGGAAAUGAAGAAAUAAAUAAAAUAGUUCUCUGGGGUUACACAUGAGCCGUCAGGCAGGAGAUGGUGACUGUCCUGUGUGUGUCUUCCUGGGAUCAGUGACAUCAAUGUGUCCUUCACCGAGACUGUUGCUUCAAAUUGGGUUGUUAAAUUUCUCCCCACAACUUCAAAGUGUUGGGCAAAGAGGAGAGAUGCUCGUCAGAUGCCUGAUGGUAACAUGUUGCUGAUGAUGGCUGGCAGGGAUUUGAGAAUCAGAGAACAUCACAUUAAUUUGCUUUUAUAUUUUUCCCAAAUGUUUUACAAAACCAUUAAUCAAGUAUCCCGUUUGGUUGGAAAACAAACGUUGGUGGUGAGUAAUGAAUACCAGCUUCCGUCACAUUUGUCCUUUUCUAGGAGUUUCUAAAGUUCUGGACUUGCUAGCUUAUAAGUUUACUGCCACCAAGGGAGAUUUUUAUAAACUGCAGCAUCUGUGGGCUGCUUUACUGACAUCAGGGAGCUGAGCCCACCUUUAAGUGAGCAUAGGACAGGGCAGCUUAUCAUCUUCUGCUGGAACGCGCAUUUCUUUUUUCUUUUCUGGCUGCACCGAGCAGCAUGUGGGAUCUUAGUUCUCCAACCUGGGAUCGUCCCACGCCCCCUGCAGUGGAAGCUCAGAGUCUUAACCACUGGGCUGCCAGGGAAGUCCUGGGAUGCAUGUUUCUUGAUUUCAUUUUAAUCCAGUUCUCCUACUGGGUGCCAAGAACUGUAUGAGGCUUUGGAAAUACAGAAGCGAGUGGGGCAGUCACUGUCCUUAAGGGAACCAUCUGGUGAGAAAUACCUGCUGCUGUGUCCUUGCAAAGUGGCCCCUGCCCCACGUGUAAGCAUGGAGUAGGAAUGCCUUGUUGGGCUGUGGGGGCCAGAGAAGGCUUCCUGGAGGGGUCACGCCUGAGUUAAGUUUGGAAGGAUCAUUAGUUAAGGGCGAGCCAUCAAAAGUAAAGUUGCUGCCCAGUCAAAGGCAUGAAGGCCAGAGACAGCCUGCAGGAGCAGCCAAGUGAAGUCCAGUGGGUGAGGUAGGCCACAGCUGGCAAUGAAGCUGGAGUGAUGGGUGGGCGGGGCCUUACGGGCAGACCUUGAAUGACAUGUGAAAGAGCGUGCACUCUUCCACGGGGGAAGCAUGAAGGAUUUUAGGAAGCGAGGCAUCAAUCAGGUUUGCACUUUUAAAUAGGCGUUUUGUGAGCCACAAUGUGGAAGACCAACUAGAAGGCACGAGCCUGGGCUUGGAGGCUGCUGAGAGGCUGCUGAGACACCAGGACAGCAAUGAUCACUUCUCCUUUCCUUCCGAGCCCUCACCAUCUGCCUGGGUCAUGUCCUCAUGGUGGGGAGGGGGGUGCAUGGGAUCCCUCGAUGUUUGCUGACUUAGCAGGAAUUUGUAUCAGCAGAACCAAGUGUCUCGGGGUGAGUGUGUGUGUGUGUGUGUGUGUGUCUGUUUAACAGGAGUUCCCAUCGACCUUGACAAUGACAGGGAAACCAGACAUGUUUGAACUGUACUGCACAGUAGUCAAAUUCAGGGUAUUUGUAUUUUGAACUCAAGAGGCCCUCGUUUAAGUCUGCCAGCAGAGGAAAAAUAGCUUCUAUCAUGGAGGCUACUUAAUCACGAUCAAAUUCAGCACUUGUAGGUGUCAUAGGUAUGCGAGAAGAGGAUGUGUAAAAUAGCAGGGUCGCCAGAAGGAAAGGCACAUGCGCGACAUGAAGCAGGUGUAUAGAGCAUUGCCUGCAGGCACCAGCUCCCUGCAUCUGCAGAGCAGCCUCAUGUUACUGUCUUUUAUACCUGAAAACAUCGGGGUAUAAGAAUGUGGAGUAGAGCACACCCUGGAGGCUUGAGUGUGGAGCUCCUGACUGUCCAGGAAGGCAAACAGGGAGGAUGUCUGUCCAUCCUCUUGGGCCUGUUGCAAGGCAACUCUGAGAACAGACCGCACGAUAACAUG